UACGAAGGGGGCUAGCGUUGUUCGGAAUUACUGGGCGUAAAGCGCACGUAGGCGGACAUUUAAGUCAGGGGUGAAAUCCCGGGGCUCAACCCCGGAACGGCCUUUGAUACUGGGUGUCUUGAGUUCGGAAGAGGUGAGUGGAAUUGCGAGUGUAGAGGUGAAAUUCGUAGAUAUUCGCAGGAACACCAGUGGCGAAGGCGGCUCACUGGUCCGAUACUGACGCUGAGGUGCGAAAGCGUGGGGGAGCAAACAGG
RNAcentral lists this ribosomal RNA (254 nucleotides) under uncultured bacterium. RNAcentral describes it as "partial 16S ribosomal RNA". It matches the Rfam family "Bacterial small subunit ribosomal RNA", at positions 524 to 776 of the family's 1533-position model. The record is from RNAcentral.